GGCUCCAUAGCUCAGUGGUGAAAGCACUGGUUUAGUAAACCAGGGGCUGUGAGUUCAAUUCUCAAUGAAGCCU
Non-coding RNA from Neoarius graeffei (lesser salmon catfish), 73 nucleotides. The record is from the annotation of a RefSeq genome assembly. Lineage: Eukaryota; Metazoa; Chordata; Actinopteri; Siluriformes; Ariidae.